GAGAUAUUGAGACAGUUGUACACUGGAGUUAACUUUUGAGUCUGAAUGAGUGUAUACAAUAAGGUUAGACAGAGUCAAGGGAUAGCCUGGUGUGAAGAAAGUAGAACACCCCUCCAAGACAGAAACAAAAUCUAUCUUCAGUUUAAAGGAUAAACACUAUUGCUGCUUACAAGAAAAUUUGAGUCAUAAUGUUCUUGGACACUGAUGGGAAUGUCUAAUUAAGCAUUGACUUGCUCAUCUAUAGAACGGGGAUUGCUGCUGCUGCUAAGUUGCUUCAGUCGUGUCCGACUCUGUGCGACCCCAGAGACGGCAGCCCACCAGGCUCCCCUGUCCCUGGGAUUCUCCAGGCAAGAACACUGGAGUGGGUUGCCAUUUCCUUCUCCAAUGCAUGAAAGUGAAAAGUGAAAGUGAAGUCACUCAGUCAUGUCCGACUCCUAGCGACCCCAUGGACUGCAGCCCACCAGGCUCCUUUGAAUUAUCCAGACACUGUUCUUGCUGGGCACACAAGAUAAAUGAGACCCCGUGCCUCUCCUCCUUGAGUUCCCCAGCCAUGGGAAAAAAUGAACCAGCAGCCAUCUGAUGGGAUGCCAUCUGGUCAGAGCCGUAACAGAGCCAGUCAGAGCAGAAGCACAAGCAUCCACGCUUUCCUGCUUCCCAGGAUGAGUAAGGACCACCUGAGGAGGGAGCCCUUUCCUCUCUAGGUUAGGUCAUUUUAUUGGCCUGCACUCAUUUCCUCAUCUGAAACACAAGGAUUUUGAAAUGGUUGAUAUUCAUG
Long non-coding RNA from Bos taurus (domestic cattle), 775 nucleotides. The record is from Ensembl. Lineage: Eukaryota; Metazoa; Chordata; Mammalia; Artiodactyla; Bovidae.